AGUGAACGCUGGCGGUAGGCCUAACACAUGCAAGUCGAACGGCAGCACAGUAAGAGCUUGCUCUUACGGUUGGCGAGUGGCGGACGGGUGAGGAAUACAUCGGAAUCUACUUUUUCGUGGGGGAUAACGUAGGGAAACUUACGCUAAUACCGCAUACGACCUACGGGUGAAAGCAGGGGAUCUUCGGACCUUGCGCGAUUGAAUGAGCCGAUGUCGGAUUAGCUAGUUGGCGGGGUAAAGGCACACCAAGGCGACGAUCCGUAGCUGGUCUGAGAGGAUGAUCAGCCACACUGGAACUGAGACACGGUCCAGACUCCUACGGGAGGCAGCAGUGGGGAAUAUUGGACAAUGGGCGCAAGCCUGAUCCAGCCAUGCCGCGUGAGUGAAGAAGGCCUUCGGAUUGUAAAGCCCUUUUGUUGGGAAAGAAAAGCAGCAGGUUAAUACCCCGCUGUUCUGACGGUACCCAAAGAAUAAGCACCGGCUAACUUCGUG
Molecule: ribosomal RNA, 492 nt
Filed under: uncultured bacterium
Lineage: Bacteria
Description: partial 16S ribosomal RNA
Rfam family: Bacterial small subunit ribosomal RNA
Source: RNAcentral